GAUGAAGAACGUAGCGAAAUGCGAUAAGUAAUGUGAAUUGCAGAAUUCAGUGAAUCAUCGAAUCUUUGAACGCAUCUUGCGCUCCUUGGUAUUCUGAGGAGCAUGCCUGUUUGAGUGUCAUUAAAUUCUCAACUACACUGACUUUGAAUUGGUGUGGCUUGGAUUUGGGGGGAAAAUUGUUGUGGGCUUUUUGUAUAGUCUGCUCCCCUGAAAUUGAUUAGCGGUACCUUUGUGGAACUGUCUACAGGUGUGAUAAUUAUCUACAUCUUAGACAUCUGCUGGAAUGCUGCUCUCUAAACCUUACUUGUAUUGACAAUCUUGACCUCAUAUCAGGUAGGACUACCCGCUGAACUUAAGCAUAUCAAUAAGCGGAGGA
Molecule: unclassified non-coding RNA, 376 nt
Filed under: soil metagenome
Description: partial contains 5.8S ribosomal RNA, internal transcribed spacer 2, and large subunit ribosomal RNA
Rfam family: 5.8S ribosomal RNA (bases 1-120)
Source: RNAcentral